Small nucleolar RNA from Acanthochromis polyacanthus (spiny chromis), 215 nucleotides. Its record names the gene U3. It matches the Rfam family "Small nucleolar RNA U3". Rfam says of the family: Small nucleolar RNAs (snoRNAs) are involved in the processing and modification of rRNA in the nucleolus. NCBI's taxonomy places the organism in Eukaryota, Metazoa, Chordata, Actinopteri, Pomacentridae. The record is from Ensembl.
ACGACGAUGCUUUCAGGGACCCUUUCUAUAGUUUCUGACUUGAGAAAUGUGUUUCUGAAGUGUAUGGUCUUGCCAGCCACAAUGAUGAGUUGUGAUGUUCCCUUGUGAGCAUGAGACCGCGAGAGAAUAAUGACUAUUUCAUAUGUUCUCUACCACUGAUGAUUGUACAUUACUUUUUAAAAGAGCAACAAAGAAGAGAAUAUGUUCAGAGUGGU